This 77-nucleotide transfer RNA is filed under the name Filifactor alocis. RNAcentral describes it as "tRNA-Arg(tcg)". It matches the Rfam family "tRNA". Rfam says of the family: Transfer RNA (tRNA) molecules are approximately 80 nucleotides in length. Their secondary structure includes four short double-helical elements and three loops (D, anti-codon, and T loops). The record is from RNAcentral. RNAcentral also lists the same sequence under 1 other name. Lineage: Bacteria; Bacillati; Bacillota; Clostridia; Peptostreptococcales; Filifactoraceae.
GCAUCUAUAGCUCAAUUGGAUAGAGCAGUGGCCUUCGAAGCCAUGUGUUAGGGGUUCGAGUCCCUUUAGGUGCACCA